CAGUAGCCACGGUAAUACGGAGGGAGCUAGCGUUGUUCGGAAUUACUGGGCGUAAAGCGCACGUAGGCGGCUUUGUAAGUCAGAGGUGAAAGCCUGGAGCUCAACUCCAGAACUGCCUUUGAGACUGCAUCGCUUGAAUCCAGGAGAGGUGAGUGGAAUUCCGAGUGUAGAGGUGAAAUUCGUAGAUAUUCGGAAGAACACCAGUGGCGAAGGCGGCUCACUGGACUGGUAUUGACGCUGAGGUGCGAAAGCGUGGGGAGCAAACAGGAUUAGAUACCCGUGUAGUCCCUGUCUCUUAUAC
This 301-nucleotide ribosomal RNA is filed under the name uncultured bacterium. RNAcentral describes it as "partial 16S ribosomal RNA". It matches the Rfam family "Bacterial small subunit ribosomal RNA", at positions 509 to 807 of the family's 1533-position model. The record is from RNAcentral.